This 464-nucleotide ribosomal RNA is filed under the name Vreelandella stevensii. RNAcentral's name for it is "partial 16S ribosomal RNA". It matches the Rfam family "Bacterial small subunit ribosomal RNA", at positions 338 to 795 of the family's 1533-position model. The record is from RNAcentral. Lineage: Bacteria; Pseudomonadati; Pseudomonadota; Gammaproteobacteria; Oceanospirillales; Halomonadaceae.
CCUACGGGUGGCAGCAGUGGGGAAUAUUGGACAAUGGGCGAAAGCCUGAUCCAGCCAUGCCGCGUGUGUGAAGAAGGCCUUCGGGUUGUAAAGCACUUUCAGUGGGGAAGAAAGCCUUGGGGCUAAUACCCUCGAGGAAGGACAUCACCCACAGAAGAAGCACCGGCUAACUCCGUACCAGCAGCCGCGGUAAUACGGAGGGUGCGAGCGUUAAUCGGAAUUACUGGGCGUAAAGCGCGCGUAGGCGGUCUGAUAAGCCGGUUGUGAAAGCCCCGGGCUCAACCUGGGAACGGCAUCCGGAACUGUCAGGCUAGAGUGCAGGAGAGGAAGGUAGAAUUCCCGGUGUAGCGGUGAAAUGCGUAGAGAUCGGGAGGAAUACCAGUGGCGAAGGCGGCCUUCUGGACUGACACUGACGCUGAGGUGCGAAAGCGUGGGUAGCAAACAGGAUUAGAUCCCUUGUAGUC